This 274-nucleotide ribosomal RNA is filed under the name uncultured bacterium. RNAcentral describes it as "partial 16S ribosomal RNA". It matches the Rfam family "Archaeal small subunit ribosomal RNA", at positions 473 to 747 of the family's 1478-position model. The record is from RNAcentral.
AAACCAGCACCUCAAGUGGUCAGGAUGAUUAUUGGGCCUAAAGCAUCCGUAGCCUGAUCUGUAAGUUUUCGGUUAAAUCUGUACGCUCAACGUACAGGCUGCCGGGAAUACUGCAGAUCUAGGGAGUGGGAGAGGUAGACGGUACUCGGGAGGAAGUGGUAAAAUGCUUUGAUCUCUCGAUGACCACCUGUGGCGAAGGCGGUCUACCAGAACACGUCCGACGGUGAGGGAUGAAAGCUGGGGGAGCAAACCGGAUUAGAAACCCUUGUAGUCC